Molecule: long non-coding RNA, 923 nt
Organism: Strigops habroptila (Kakapo)
Lineage: Eukaryota; Metazoa; Chordata; Aves; Psittaciformes; Psittacidae
Exons: 3
Source: RefSeq, a predicted model, not a curated record
AGUUUGGAAGUAGGCUCCACAACUCUUCUGAAGGCAGAAGAUGAGAUAGGCUCCUCUGAUUUUCACUUUUCCAUCUCAGUUUGGUCUGUGUUACACGGUUCACACAGCUCUUGAUACUGCAGUUUAUCUGGCACGGCAUGUGCUUAUGCAACGGGCCAUCCCAUGCUGUGCUGUAGGUAUGAAGAGAAGUUUAGUUGUAUGGAGAAAAUGCUUCUCACUUUGAAGAUCUCAUUUGAAGGGCUGAUAAAGAAAUGCCCUGAAAUUAAAGAUAUUCUCAGGUUCAGAGAACAAAGGGGGGAAGCACACAGACCCGAGAAAGAAAGCUCCUCUUGUGCGUGAGAGAGUAAAGGACACUUUGACUCACUUGAGAUCCCUCGAAAUGCUAAAAAAAGAAAGGGAAGAAAAAAGUACAAGAAAAGACACUCAUGGAACUGCUGAGGUGAUGUAACCAGGUGUCUUUUCAUGUGUACCCUUUAUUUUCCUUUCUAUCUCAUCAAAUUUAAACAAACUAAUCCUAUGAAGGAUUAAAGCUGUAAUAUCUCCAUGCUACUUUUCUGUGUUCUGGGCUUUUCUCAUGGGUUAACACUUAAGCUGUAAUGAGCUUUGAGGUUUGGUGGAAGCAGAGGCAGCAACUAUUUACACAUGAAAUGGUAGAAGGCAGUGCCUUUUCCUUGGUGAAGGCAUGUUACUCUCACUUUGAGUCACAAUGAAAUCCUUUCAGUCAGUCAUAUGGCCCCUUAAAGCGCCUGGGAAAUGGGAUGUUUGAUUUGGGUUCACUGAGACCUGAUUUGCUUUUUCUGGGUGUGUGGAGAGGUGAGAUGGUGCUGUCAACAGGAGUCUUUUGCAUUUCAGGAGCUGGACCCAGUCUGUUUGUAGCCAUGUACUAUGAAAAAUCAAAGAGGCAAAUUCAGGGUGCAUGUCCC